Phacochoerus africanus (Common warthog) is the source of this 1167-nucleotide long non-coding RNA. RefSeq lists it as uncharacterized. The record is from RefSeq and is a predicted model, not a curated record. The transcript is spliced from 3 exons. NCBI's taxonomy places the organism in Eukaryota, Metazoa, Chordata, Mammalia, Artiodactyla, Suidae.
AGGAAGAGAGGAGGAGCCAGGAGGUGACAAGGGGGCGUUACCCAGGACCCGGGAGCAAGCCCCGCCCACCUCCCCGGCGCGGGGCCGAGCCGCCGCAGUAACCUGGCGCCGUGACCUGCGGCAGCAUUUCUUCUCAAAGCCCACAAACCUGCAAGGCGUCCACCCCCUGCGAAUAGAUGUGUGUGAAGGUCACGCAAGGCGACGAGGUCUGGCCCGGCCUAAGCCUCCACUGGUUUUCACUGGGCUCUGCUGGGCUCGCUUGGCUUCCUCCUGCGCAUGUGCAGGUUCCCAGCCUGUCGGGCCGCGCGGAGAGCCCAUCUCGAUACUUGGGCUCUCCCGUUACAGGAUUUUCUGUAAAAUGUAUGGCUGGUCCGCCGCGUACCCCCAUCAGGAGCACAUUUUCGGGCUUGCAGAAAGAUUGGUCACCAGAUUUGCCCAAAGCGAUAAUCCUCAGAGUUUCUGAAAGUUUUCAAAUUUAUGUCAGUAAGAAUAUUUUGAAAAACCUGAUGAAAAUUACGACCUCUCUCUCUGGGCAAAAGAAAGCACAUCCUCCAACACACAAAAUGUUGUCUGAAUCACAGGGAAAUGACUGCCCCAGACGAAGGAUUCUGGGGAGAAGAAAACAACAAGAAAAGCAACAGUGCGCUCCUGACCCCUGUAGUUCAGAGCCGAUUUUAUCCAGUGGUAGACAAAUUCAAGCAAGCUUCAUGCCUGUUCUCCCAGCUCAGAUCAAGUGGAUGGCCCUGGAAAGAGACAGACUGACCAAAAAUAGGCAACAGCACCAAGAAGACGCCAGAUUCCUCGAAACACGAUCAUUUACCACAAAGGCAAAAAGACAAACACAGUGGCUCGCUGAUGACAUCUCUGUUCGGUGUGGAAUGGCACGAUAACCCUGAGGAGCAGAACGUUUAAGCCGUAUCCAGUGGAGCAUGUUUAGGAAGAUAAAAGGAUGUUUAAUGGAUUUUGGAGAGAUUCUAUCAAAACAUGAACUAUUACAAUGAUGACACGCAAAGAGAUAAGUUGCACAUCUCCCAAAUGAUGUCAACCAAAUGAACGGCUGUCGGCUAUAAUUACCCAAAUUAUAGUGAGAGGAGAGGCCAUGCUUGCCAUGAUUUGGGGGAAUUUCUACCUAUUACAGACCUAUUAUUAAAAAGAAAAUUAUAACAA